GUGAAUCAUCGAAUUUUUGAACGCAAAUUGCGCUUCCUAGCAUCCCGGGGAGUAUGCCUGUUUGAGGGUCAGUAUUAACAAAAAAAUCUGUUUGGUUUCCAAUUGUGACGUUUCCGGAGUUUGGGCUAUCUUAACGUUUCUGGUUAAGGGGCUUAAAAUUUAUCUUUUUUCCGCAUUUUGCGACGUACGUAAAUUUUUUUUUAUUCGUCU
Molecule: unclassified non-coding RNA, 210 nt
Filed under: Glomeraceae sp.
Lineage: Eukaryota; Fungi; Glomeromycota; Glomeromycetes; Glomerales; Glomeraceae
Description: partial contains 5.8S ribosomal RNA and internal transcribed spacer 2
Rfam family: 5.8S ribosomal RNA (bases 1-71)
Source: RNAcentral